RNAcentral lists this ribosomal RNA (292 nucleotides) under uncultured bacterium. RNAcentral describes it as "partial 16S ribosomal RNA". It matches the Rfam family "Bacterial small subunit ribosomal RNA", at positions 521 to 812 of the family's 1533-position model. The record is from RNAcentral.
UAAUACGGAGGGGGUUAGCGUUGUUCGGAAUUACUGGGCGUAAAGCGCGCGUAGGCGGAUUAGUCAGUCAGAGGUGAAAUCCCAGGGCUCAACCCUGGAACUGCCUUUGAUACUGCUAGUCUUGAGUUCGAGAGAGGUGAGUGGAAUUCCGAGUGUAGAGGUGAAAUUCGUAGAUAUUCGGAGGAACACCAGUGGCGAAGGCGGCUCACUGGCUCGAUACUGACGCUGAGGUGCGAAAGCGUGGGUAGCAAACAGGAUUAGAUACCCUGGUAGUCCACGCAGUAAACGAUGA